GAGGGGUUGCCUCUCUUUCUUUGGUUCCUUUUUUUCCUCCCGGGUGGAAACCUAUCCGGAAGAGGAGGUGGGGGAAAGAAGUUGAAAGGCUAUUGAUUCUUACCUUAAAGAGAGAAGAGCCGUGAUUCAAAAGCACCACAUUAAGACAGACUCCCUGACUGUGAGAUCCCAGGCACUUCACCGGCUGGCCGAGUCUCUCUCCAUUCUGACCCUUUCCAGGCUGCUGGCCCCCGGGGGAGCGUGCACUAUCUGUUCCUCACGUUGGGGAAUUUCCGAUCUGAGAAGACUGCAGCUGGGCCCUUCGCACAAGACGCACAGAAGGACACCAAUGUUACAAACCGGUGAAACUGAUGCAGCUGUUUUGUUCGACUGCUUUAAAGAAAAACCCAGCUUCACAGAGCCAAGCCUAAAUGACAGAGCUUCAUUCCAGGAGAAAACAUUGGCUUCAUUGGGUGUUUCUGCAGCCAGUCCAUGGACAUGAUGGAGGGCCUGGAAGAGCAUGAGUAAAGAAUUUCCUGCUGCCAUGAUGAGGUCUUAGGAAUCCAGAAAAGAUUGAAAUGGGCUACGUCUUCAAAACAGAUACCCUGAAUUAUUAUUUAUAUUUAUACUUCCGUAACACUUAGGAGCACUGACAAGCCUCAAUCAAGGAUCAGGGUCCCAGUGUGCUCGGUGCUGUACAGACCAAUCCCAAAGAAGAAACUGCCUGCCCUAGAUUGCUCACAUGUCAGACAGGACGUGAGCCGUGGACAAAACAGACAAAUGGGGCUUUGGAAGGAUCAGGUAGCAACACAGCAAACAAAACUUAGCUCUUAGCCAGCUAGACACCUCCGGAAAGAGAUGUGGUCUAAAAGUGUAAAAUGUAUUGGGACAGCAAAAAGUGCAGCGUUUUCAAGACUGCUGAGCAUCUUCUGGUAUUGCUUAGAGUUGCA
This 929-nucleotide long non-coding RNA is filed under the name Chrysemys picta bellii (western painted turtle). RNAcentral's name for it is "lncRNA (ENSCPBG00000027147.1)". Lineage: Eukaryota; Metazoa; Chordata; Testudines; Emydidae. The record is from RNAcentral.